Molecule: non-coding RNA, 768 nt
Organism: Pimephales promelas (fathead minnow)
Lineage: Eukaryota; Metazoa; Chordata; Actinopteri; Cypriniformes; Leuciscidae
Source: RefSeq, a predicted model, not a curated record
CAGACCUGUCCGUCUUGGUCUUCCGGUAAAGUACAACUGGUCUCACCUUCUCUUCAGAAGUUUGAAUUAUACUUCUGAGCUGUGACUCAAAAGACUCCAGGGAGGCGGUUGGAACGCUUAAGGUAAAAGAAAGAUGCAACCGAGAGGAUGAGGCCCAGGCUGAUCAGUAGAGUUCCUAGAAGGACAGAAGCCGCUACAGCCGGGCCACCUGCCAUUAUAAAGCAAAGGAUGAAAUUAAAGUUCCGUACUACGGAGCCCCGCAUAUGACAUGCGGGAAAACAUUUACAAAUCAAAUAUGUCAGCAUGUUUUACUAAUUCGUUCACUCCUUUUGAGUAAACAGUGUGCACAAUAUAAUAAUUUGUUCCCUUGAUUUAGUAAAUCAUGGCCACGUUGUACUAAUUUGAUUUGAUUGAACUAAAUCAAGGGAACAAAUUAUUAUACCGUGCACACUAUUUAAUCAAAAGGAGUGAACAAAUUGUUAUAGCUUUUUAAUUCUUAAUUCAGGUCCACGAUAUUCAUAUUUUUGUCUGCAUCAUGUCCUAUGCAGGACUCCUUUCAAAUCAAUAUCAAUAUACAAAAAUAAAUUAGGUUUUGAAGCAGUUUUUUUGAAGCAGUACUAUUAUUAAAUAAUGAUAAUAACUUACCAAUCAUUUUGAUUAAUGCUCCUGGAAAGUGACUAAUCCUUGCUAGAGGGAGAGUAGAAAACACAAUGAAGUAAAUAAAAAGAUAAACAAUAAUAUAAUAAAUAAAGAGCACAUCUAAGAGUU